UACGAAGGGGGCUAGCGUUGCUCGGAAUCACUGGGCGUAAAGCGCACGUAGGCGGAUUGUUAAGUCAGGGGUGAAAUCCUGGAGCUCAACUCCAGAACUGCCUUUGAUACUGAGGAUCUUGAGUUCGGGAGAGGUGAGUGGAACUGCGAGUGUAGAGGUGAAAUUCGUAGAUAUUCGCAAGAACACCAGUGGCGAGGCGGCUCACUGGCCCGGUACUGACGCUGAGGCACGAAAGCGUGGGGAGCAAACAGGG
RNAcentral lists this ribosomal RNA (253 nucleotides) under uncultured bacterium. RNAcentral describes it as "partial 16S ribosomal RNA". It matches the Rfam family "Bacterial small subunit ribosomal RNA", at positions 524 to 777 of the family's 1533-position model. The record is from RNAcentral.